GAAAAAAGACGCCUUCUUCGACUACUACCUAGUUAAUGGUAGUUUAGCCGUUUGCCGAGCUUUUUUUUUUUUUUUUUUUAAACCCACCAAAAGCCAUCACUGAGUUAGCUCUAGUAAGAGAGAAUAAAGAAAAUAUGCCAAGGCCCCGUACUGUGACUUGCUCUUGGGUGUUCCUAAGACCAGACGGAACUCCUCAUCCUCUUCAUGAAUUGAGUCGUCCUCCAGCUUGACCACACAAGGCUUUUCCGUCUCGCCUAUGUGGAACACCUGCUGGAGACAAAAGGAUGCCCUCUGUUUUCCCCAUCAGUGCUGAUGAGUUCACGCGAGCACGAGGCGGCGCACGCUUGAUGGUGACCUUGGCGGUGGGGAAGGAGGCGCCCACCCGGCCUCCCAUGGGCAUGCUGAGGGUGACGUUGAAGGUCUCCUCGUCCUCGUACAGCGAGUCGUCGAUGAUGAUGAUGCGGCACAGCUUCUCACGUUCAUCCUUGUCGAAACGCAGCAGACUAGUGUGGUCGUCGGCCCGAGUGAUGUAAUCCGAGUAGGAGAGCACAGAGGAUCUCAGUGACACGUAAUUGAUGCUUUUGACAUCCAUCUUGUGGCGACAAAAUCCCACCGCUUCCACCGCUUUCACCCAUCUGGUUGCCGUGUUUAGAAGACGCACGCGUUUUUUAGGUGGUGCGCCAAAUACUUCAGCACCUUGAACGCAGUGCACGGCAUGACAGAAGUACAGAAAAAGUUCAACUCUACUAAAACAAGAUGCCUAAUGUCGUGAAAACAGAAGUGCUGGAGCCGAUCCCGGAUGUCAACGGGCAGGAGCCGGGGUGCACCCUGAACUGGUCGCCAGCCAAUCGCAGAGCACAUGGGGACAGACAACAACUGUAUCACAAUCACACCUAGGGGCAAUUUAGAGGGUCCAAUUAAUGAUGCAUGUUUUUUGUGGAUGUGGGAGGAAACCGGAGUGCCCGGAGAAAACCCACGCAGGCACGGGGAGAACAUGCAAACUCCACACAGGCGUGUCCGGGAUUGAACCCGGGACUUCAGAACUGUGAGGCCAAUGCUUUACCAGCUGACCCACCGUGCCGCCCAAAAAAUAUAACAAAAUCAAAUAUGAAUGUGCAAAUUUACAUGUUGCUGGACAAUAUAAUUUCAUCUGAAACAGAAAUAAAUCAAAAUAUUUAUAAAAUCAGAAAUUAAUCCAAAUUCCACUCCAAGAAAUUGUCUUGUACUAUUUUGUUUUUACUUGUUAAUAAACUGGGCAAAAAAAUAAAGGCAAAAAGAUUGCAAAAUGAAGAUAGGGUGGAAAGGAAAAGUCCACACACUCCUAUUCAAAUUCCAAGAUUUUGAGAUGUAUAAGAAUUCAGACCAAGAUAAAAUAUUUUUUCACCAUGAAUUUAUGCAACUCAAUUGAUUUUUUUUUUUUUCUUUUUGAGAAUCCGCUUGAACAUAACGCACCAUAGCUAAUAAAUAAUCUUGCAUAGGAUUGAUUUGGACUUGACGUUUAACUUGCCGCCUUCUUGGCCAGGGCACCCUUGCAAAAGAGAUGUUCCGUCUCAGUUGAUGAUUUUUGAAGAGAAAAUUAUUUGUGGGAAGUAGUAGAAAGUCAGAACCGCUGUCUUAGAUAAAUGCAUUAGACAGGGACCGGGCCGGUCGGAACCAUCAGGAUUAUGCAUUUUGAUGUUGUUAAGUAAACAAACAAUAACAAUUGUCAUUUAAAGAAAACUUUAUGAAGGAGUUUUUUUGUGUGAUUUUUUUUUACAAGACACAUUAUAUUUUUAAAUCAUUCCCCUGAUCGGCACGCUCCUCGCGGGGAGCACGGAUGAUCAGGGUGGGGAUGGAUGAUGAGGUCUGCGGAUGAAGUCGCCAGCGGGUAUCAUGACCUCAUUCUGUAUUUGAUAAGGGUGCCCGCUCACACUGUCUGCUACCACACCGGCCAGGAACAGUGAUAAUGUUCCAGUCACGCACGGAUCGCUGCGAUUACUCUUUGUCGUCACCCGCUCGGAGCUGUCUCCGUCCGAGACUGUCAUUGUGCCACAUUUAGAGGGAAUGGGAGGAGCCCCUUUCAUUGCCGGUGUGACGGUGUGAGUCCUCCCGGUGCUGAAAGGUUUCCUUGUGAAUAAUGCGCAUGCGCGUAUAUUUUGUAAACUUCCAGCCAGUCUGAAA
Syngnathoides biaculeatus (alligator pipefish) is the source of this 2160-nucleotide long non-coding RNA. RefSeq lists it as uncharacterized. The record is from RefSeq and is a predicted model, not a curated record. The transcript has 7 exons. NCBI's taxonomy places the organism in Eukaryota, Metazoa, Chordata, Actinopteri, Syngnathiformes, Syngnathidae.